GCAGUCAGGGGCUCUCCAGGCAGUAGCAGAAGCCAAAUUCUUUGCAGUUUUUGCCUCAUACUCCCCUCCUGGAGCCUAUUAAUAUCAGUGUCCCUGCCCAACUUCAGACUGAAGGAAUGAGCAUCUCUGUGGGAACUGAGAACUUGAAAAUCUCACCACAUUGUUCUCCCAGUCCAGUGCUGCAAUGUGCCUAACAAAGCAGCAGCCUGAAUUCAAGAAUGGAUGAAUGGAUACCUCCCUGAAGCAGCUACAAAUAUUCUGUUGGCAAUUGAUUGGUUCCCUUCCUCUAUUCUCCUUUAAUACUUUCUCUAUAUUUCCAGAAUAGUACUUACCACUUUAUAUGUCCAUCUCCCUGGUAUAGUCUGUGAGUAGAGACCAUUAUUUCCUUUUCUUAUAGUAUCUGAAUCUGACAUAUAAUAUACCCUCAAUAAAUAAAGGAAUGAAAAACUUGAGAGUAUGCUUCUCAAACUUGUGGGCGGCACUA
Long non-coding RNA from Nyctereutes procyonoides (raccoon dog), 484 nucleotides. RefSeq lists it as uncharacterized. The transcript has 3 exons. The record is from RefSeq and is a predicted model, not a curated record. Lineage: Eukaryota; Metazoa; Chordata; Mammalia; Carnivora; Canidae.